Salmo salar (Atlantic salmon) is the source of this 3761-nucleotide RNA transcript. It is a transcript of the gene named chloride voltage-gated channel K, with no coding region annotated. NCBI's taxonomy places the organism in Eukaryota, Metazoa, Chordata, Actinopteri, Salmoniformes, Salmonidae. The record is from RefSeq and is a predicted model, not a curated record.
GCAAAUGGACUGCAUCCAACAUAUUGACUCAGCAAAAGUCAAUGAAGGAGACGAAAAGGACGUAGAGCUACAAAAUCAAAGGGACAAAUCGAUAGAGGGACAAAGACUCCUAAUCCUCACCGAUGAGCAGCCGUGGAAACCAUGGAAACGGUCCCGCUCCUGGGUAAAAGAGUGUCUGGUGAGGGUCAGAUGUGUCAUGGGUUCCCUGAUGGGUAUGGAGUGGUACUGUUUCGCUACUCUCGGGGUUCUGACCGCUUUCCUUAGUUUUCUCAUGGACCUGAGUGUGGCAAAGCUGCUUCGAGCUCACCAGUGGUUGUAUAGUCAGCUGGAGGGCCACUGUCUCCUGCAGUUCCUGUGCUGGACCCUGUACCCAGUCUCACUCUCUGCUCUAUCCACAUCUUUCUCUCAAAGCAUCUGUCCAUUCUCAGCAGGUUCUGGGGUUCCAGAGGUGAGGACCAUACUGUCUGGUGUGGACAUGCCACAUUACCUGUCCCUCACCAACCUAUUUGCCAAAUACGUGGGUCUCAUCUGCACACUGGCAGCCGGCAGCACUGUCUUCCUGGGAAAAGUGGGUCCAUUUGUGCAUCUCUCCACCAUGGUGGGAGCCUAUCUGAACCAACUCUGCACUGUUCUCCGUGGUGAGAAGGAGGAGAGAACUGAAGGAGCGAUGCUGGUCGUGGCUGCUGCUGUCGGAGUAGCCAGCUGCUUCGGGGCCCCUAUCAGUGGUGUGUUGUUUAGUGUGGAGGUGAUGAGCUCUCACUUCGCCCUUAAAGAUUACUGCCCAUGCUUCUUUGCGGCAGCCUGUGGAGCGCUCACCUUCCAUCUGCUCUCCAUGUGGAGCGGCGAGCAAGAGACUCUUCAGGCCUUGUUUCAAACCAGCUUCUCAGAUGAUUUGCCAUUCUACCCACUGGAGAUUCCGGUCUUUGCAAUAUUGGGGCUUCUGUGCGGAGCAGGUAGCUGUGUCUACCUAUUCUGUCACCGUUGGAUACUGCUGUUCAUAAAGACAAACAAAAUCCUAAUCAAAGUCUUGUCGACUGAGAAGGCCCUAUACUCCGCUAUGGUGGUGUUCCUUCUGGCAUCUGUGACUUUCCCUCUUUCUGCUGGUCAAUAUAUGGCUUCCAAGCUCACCAUUAAGCAGCUCCUCUCUUCCCUCCUGGACAGCAGGCAGUGGACCUCUCAAUCCCACAAUGCCUCUGUGGUUUUGCAGCCAAACUUGUGUCCCUGGUCAGAGUGGAUUUCUUCAGGGAAUCCAUACCUCACUCUGGGAUUCUUCCUAUUCAUGAAGCUGUGGAUGCUGGUGUUGGCUUGCACCUUGCCCCUGCCAGCCGGAUACUUUAUGCCUGUCUUUAUCUAUGGUGCUGCUAUAGGACGUUUAUUCGGGGAAGGAUUGGCAUAUGUGUCCCUAAAUGGUGUCUAUUUAGACCAGAACAGGAAUCCAAUCAACCCUGGAGGCUAUGCACUGGCUGGUGCAGCAGCAUUCUCAGGGGCGGUCACACACACUCUGUCCCCUGCUCUCCUGGCUCUGGAGCUGACCGGCCAGUCCACUCACGCCGCACCCAUUCUCCUCGCCACACUGGUGGCCAAUGCCCUAGCACGCUCUGGGCAGCGGCCAUCCUUCUACGAUGCCCUCUCCAUCAGCAAGAAGCUCCCGCACUUACCCUCCCUGCUCAAGGUCUGCCCAAGGCUCUCCUCUGUCCCAAUAGGGAAGGUCCUGGGUCCUAGAGGUCCAGUGCUGGAGAGGGCAGCUGGGCCAACGCAGGUUCAGCAGGUUCUCAACACCUGCAGCCAGACACAGAUCCCUGUGGUUGACACACUGGACUCACAGAUUCUGCUGGGAUCAAUUAACAGAUCGGACCUGCAGACAUUUCUAUGCCACAACCACAAUAAGGUCAGUGGAUUGAUUCAGCCAGGAAACCAAGGAAUGCUAUGUAUUGAAGAAACAGUUGGUGGAUAUGUGUUCUAUUCAGCCUGUUUCUGUCCAGCUCUCUCCUGAUACCACUGUCCAGGAGGCUCAUGGCAUCCUCAGUGUGCUGUGUGGCGAGAGCUUGUUUGUGACUGAAAGGGGGAGGCUAUCUGGUGUUGUCACAUGGCCAGAGAUGAAGAGAAUGAUGGCAGAUUUGGCUGAUGACCUCUAAGCUAUUACCUACUCCCAACAAGGACCUAUCCCUAACUACGCCAAACAAUAUUGAUUCUCAUAAUACUAAUAAUGAUACUUUGUCUUAAUUUUGUAAUGAUAAGCUUUUUGCUAAUCACCAAUGUUAUUUUCUGCUGAAGGCUUUUUCAUAACAGUUAUUAGAGCUUAUUGAUAUGUCGUUAGGAGAUGUAACUCCCUUGCUGUUUUGGAUUAUCUUGUUUACUGACCCAGAGAUAUCUCUAAGGACACUGUGAUAUUCAAAGUAAUUACACGUCGUGCCCAAGAACAUCCCUUAGCCUUAGUGUGUUAUUUAUCAGAAUAUAGCAUGUGCUCUUAUGCCUUAUUGUGAGUUAGAGCAAUUUCAACCAAUAGUGGAUUCUGUGAUGCCGCAAACAACUUCUCUUCUGCUUCAGGCCAUUAUUUACUUAUCUGUUGCUCACAGCAAUUUUCUCCCUUCUGUUCAUGUCCUUUUUCGCUUUGAGCAGAAGGACCCAUUAUUGUUGUACAGGUCUGAUUUAGGGCUAGAUUCUAUGAGAUCCACGGUAGCUGACACACACAUAGUGGUUGUUUUGGCGGUGUAGCAGAUGGAACUGUGUUAGAGCUAUCAAAUCCACAAGCGGCUUCCGGUGUUAUACCUAAAGUGGACAUUGCCAUUGGCUAAAUGGAGUCGCAUUAAGAGAAAUCCCAUGCAGCCUUGUUUACAAGUUUGAACACUGGAAUCUACACCUCAAUUAGGCUGAUAGGAAUCCUCAUUAUUUUGUUUAAUGAUUUUCAAUUUGAUAUAUAGCCUACACUUUCUCGUUCUGAACUUCUAACGCGAGUGGGACGGGUCUUUCUUAGUGACAAUGACCCCACAAGCAGCUGCUCAGUGAUUUGACAGCUCUAACACAGUUACACCUCUGCCAUCUCCGCAAUUGUACAUUGUAUGGCUGCAACAGGGGAACAAAAGCACAGAGCCAAUGUGUAAUACAGCAUUGUGUAAAUGUCCAUUGAAAGAACAAGGGGCGAGAUAACGGUAAUAUUCUAGUCUCCCUUUAUCUCCCUGUCUCUCUCUCUUUCUUUCUCUCUCAUUAUCUCUUUUCCCUGGAUCCUUCCUUCUGCUCCCUCUUCCCUCUCUCCCUGGCAGACAAAUGUGAAUAAUGGCUAAUCAUAGAUGGGGACUCAGAUAAUUGGCUACACACAUUAUUUCUGCCACCCUACUCUCUCUCCCUCUCUCCUGUCUCAAGAGAGCUAUAGGAAGACCCUGAAUGGAGACAUUCUGGAGUGUAACGCUAAUUCAAGCUUGACAUUUCAUUGUGGCAAAUUUUUCUGAUUACCAUAUCUAUCUUUUCAGUCCAUCUAAUUGAAAUUGGAUUCAAUCAAAAACUGCAAUGUGUUCGAGCCACUCCACCAUACUUGUCACAUAAUUGAAUGUAUUAUGGUACAAUGUACACAAUAUAUACGCAAAGAAGAAUAGUGAUUCUUGACUGAUGUAUUUUCCUAUGUACAAUUCCAUGGUUCACAUGAUUUGACAAUUUACAAUGUUGUACAUUCAAAAAAGUUUAUCGAAGGCUACAGGUGGUUCUACGUACAGUGUAUCUGUGUCUAAAAACGGUACAUUUCAACUGAAAAUAAAAAGUCUCACUCA